Molecule: ribosomal RNA, 1244 nt
Filed under: metagenome
Description: bacterial LSU rRNA
Rfam family: Bacterial large subunit ribosomal RNA
Source: RNAcentral
UGAAUACGAGAUGCUACGGCGUCGAAGCAGUCUAUGUCAUACUUCCAAGAAAAGCUUGCACUGUCAUAAACAAAUAAUGCCUGUACCAUAACCGACACAGGUGGGUAGGUAGAGUAUACUAAGGGGCGCGAGAUAACUCUCUCUAAGGAACUCGGCAAAAUGACUCCGUAACUUCGGGAGAAGGAGUGCCUUAUUUUAUAAGGUUGCAAUAACAAGAUCCAAGCAACUGUUUACCAAAACACAGGUCUCCGCUAAGUCGUAAGACGAUGUAUGGGGGCUGACGCCUGCCCAGUGCCAGAAGGUUAAAGAAGUUGGUUAGCAUCCGCGAAGCUGAUAACUGAAGCCCUGGUGAACGGCGGCCGUAACAAUAACGGUCCUAAGGUAGCGAAAUUCCUUGUCGGGUAAGUUCCGACCCGCACGAAAGGCGUAAUGAUUUGGAUACUGUCUCAGAGAGGGGCUCGGUGAAAUAGACUUGUCUGUGAAGAUGCGGACUACCUGCACCAGGACAGAAAGACCCUAUGAAGCUUUACUGUAACUUGAAAUUGAAAUUGGACUUUACUUGCGCAGUAUAGGUGGGAGGCGUUGAGAAUAUUCUUGCGGGAAUGUUGGAGCCAUCAGUGAGAUACCACUCUUGUAAUGUUAGAUUUCUAACUUUGUAUCAUUAUCUGGUCAAAGGACAGUUUCAGGCGGGCAGUUUGACUGGGGCGGUCGCCUCCCAAACGGUAACGGAGGCGCACAAAGGUUUCCUCUGAACGGGUAGAAAUCGUAUCUAGAGUGUAAAGGCAUAAGGAAGCUUGACUGUGAGACCUACAAGUCGAGCAGGGACGAAAGUCGGUCUUAGUGAUCUGACGGUGCUGAGUGGAAAGGCCGUCACUCAACGGAUAAAAGUUACUCUAGGAUAACAGGCUGAUCUCCCCCAAGAGUUCACAUCGACGGGGAGGUUUGGCACCUCGAUGUCGGCUCAUCGCAUCCUGGGGCGGUAGUACGUCCCAAGGGUUGGGCUGUUCGCCCAUGAAAGCGGUACGCGAGCUGGGUUCAGAACGUCGUGAGACAGUUCGGUCCAUAUCCGGUGUAGGCGUUAGAAUAUUGAGAGGAGCCUUCUUUAGUACGAGAGGACCGAGAAGGACAUACCUCUGGUGUACCAGUUAUCGUGCCAACGGUAAACGCUGGGUAGCUAUGUAUGGAGUGGAUAACCGCUGAAAGCAUCUAAGUGGGAAGCCCACCUCAAGAUAAGUAUUCUCACC